Molecule: long non-coding RNA, 539 nt
Organism: Musa acuminata AAA Group (dessert banana)
Lineage: Eukaryota; Viridiplantae; Streptophyta; Magnoliopsida; Zingiberales; Musaceae
Exons: 3
Source: RefSeq, a predicted model, not a curated record
GUACAUAAUAAUCUCUCCGUCCUUCGCGACCCGGCGACGCAACCGGGAAUCCAAAGACGCGGAGGAGGAGGAGGAAUAGAGAGCGCGAUGGGUCUGCAGUUUGUUGGCGAUGGUGUGUUCUUUGCGGAGCUUAGUGACGUCCUCACAAGAACCACUGAGCUGUGGACGGGUACUCCAGUGUUGAGGUCAACAUCGGUGAUCAUUACUAGAGCCGCCAGGACCCUGAACGUACUUGAUAUCGAUCUUCAAUUUAUGUUAAGCCUCGGUGGUACACCCGAUUUGGACUUCGUAUCAUAAUUGUGUAUGGUGAGAAGGAGAGAAGGAUAUUGGAGUUGACUUCUGUGGUCCGAUAAAGAUUCAACUUUUUGGAAAAUGGUGUGGAGCUGUACACCGAAGGUCAACAACAGAGGGCUUUGUGCAAUUGCUUGGGCUAUCUUUUUGGUACAAGCUUCUUGGAGGAGUAUCAUUCCUUCUUAACAUGGAGGAGAAGGGAGCAUAGGAGAGGAGAGCAAAGUGAGAGUGAAGCGCUUAUAUGAAGG